This 356-nucleotide unclassified non-coding RNA is filed under the name soil metagenome. RNAcentral's name for it is "partial contains 5.8S ribosomal RNA, internal transcribed spacer 2, and large subunit ribosomal RNA". The stretch from base 1 to 120 matches the Rfam family "5.8S ribosomal RNA", at positions 35 to 154 of the family's 154-position model. The record is from RNAcentral.
GAUGAAGAACGCAGUGAAAUGCGAUAAGUAAUGUGAAUUGCAGAAUUCAGUGAAUCAUCGAAUCUUUGAACGCACAUUGCGCCCGCUGGUAUUCCGGCGGGCAUGCCUGUUCGAGCGUCAUUUCAACCCUCAAGCUCUCCGGAGUUUGGUGUUGGGGCGCCUGGGGCUUUUCGACCUCAGGGCCCUCAAGUCCAUCGGCGGGACCGCCAGGACACUGAGCGCAGUAGUAUUAUUUCGCUCGGUAGGAUCUUCCACGGCGGGUCGAUCUGGCCGCUAAACCCCCCAAUUCUCACCAAAGGUUGACCUCGGAUCAGGUAGGAAUACCCGCUGAACUUAAGCAUAUCAAUAAGCGGAGA